UACUGAGAUACUUCAUGUUCAAAAAUACCAGCGUUUCAACGGCGUUCAAUUCUUCCAUGUUGCACCAUCCAAAGUACUUUUUUUUGCGAAUUUAUUUACGACAAACUUGGCUUACGUAAACUUUGGGGUAGCAAAAUUCAUAUCGCCGCAGAACAGUUUGCAAGAACAAAUAUAAACCUAAAGAGGUACGGGUGAACAAAUAGGUAUUCGAAUUAGGAAAUGAAAAGUUCGAAGCUGAAGGAAGCUUAAUUACGAAGACAGAAUCAAAUAAAGAUAACUUCCUCCAGUAUAGUUUUCAUUUUUCCGAACGUCCAUAUCGUCUUUGCCUCUGCACCAUUAAAUUCGAAUUUUUUCAACGAUUUUCAAAGCUCACUAUACCAUAUAACGUAAUCUGAAGAAAGAAAGUUCCACUGAUGCAUGGACGCUAUUUAGGUUUUUGCCCUUUAUCUUUCAUCUGAUCUUACAAAGUCGCUUGAACCACGCUAUCCUAUAUACCGAAGCAAAGGCCAACGAAAACAACUACGUUAAUACCUGCUAUAUUGACUAAAAGAAUGAUAUUUCACUUGGCAGCAUUCGUUAGCUUUAGCUAG
Schizosaccharomyces pombe (fission yeast) is the source of this 590-nucleotide non-coding RNA. NCBI's taxonomy places the organism in Eukaryota, Fungi, Ascomycota, Schizosaccharomycetes, Schizosaccharomycetales, Schizosaccharomycetaceae. The record is from the annotation of a GenBank genome assembly.